This is a long non-coding RNA of Melopsittacus undulatus (budgerigar), 403 nucleotides long. RefSeq lists it as uncharacterized. The transcript is spliced from 3 exons. The record is from RefSeq and is a predicted model, not a curated record. Lineage: Eukaryota; Metazoa; Chordata; Aves; Psittaciformes; Psittaculidae.
UCUCGUCCGCACCUCACCCGAUGGGGCCGCGACGCAGAGAGAGCGGUUCUGCGCAUGCGCCGCGCCUCAGCGCCUGUGGCGUCAUGACGUCACGCCGUGCGUCCCGAAGCCGUGCCCUUACCAGCUUGGGGGCGUGUCUCAAUCAACCAAUGGGAGUUGGGAAAGCGGCGCCAUGGGGGUGUGGCCAAGGGAAGCAACCAAUGAGGAGGCGCGUGGGCGGGGCUAGACGCAUUGCGUCACUUCCUGGCGCUUAAUCCGGCCUUGUCGCCUUGGCAACGGGAUGGCGGCGGCAGAGGCGAGCUCUUCGCUAUGGCUGCAGGCCCACGACGACCCCAUGGCCGGGCUGCGAUCGUUCCCCGGCUGCAUGGCGCUGGUUGAUGUGCAUGGAGAUGGGGACCAUAAG